CGGUGGAGCACGUGGUUUAAUUCGAUGAUACGCGAGGAACCGUUACCUGGGCUCAAAUGUAUGUUGACGUAUUCUGAAAGGGAUACUUCUUCGGACAAUAUACAAGGUGCUGCAUGGUUGUCGUCAGCUCGUGCCGUGAGGUGUCGGGUUAAGUCCCAUAACGAGCGCAACCCCUAUCAUUAGUUGCCAUCAGGUCAAGCUGGGGACUCUAAUGAAACUGCCUACGCAAGUAGUGAGGAAGGUGGGGAUGACGUCAAAUCAGCACGGCCUUACGUCCAGGGCUACACACGUGCUACAAUGGCCGGUACAAAGGGCAGCUACCUGGUGACAGGAUGCUAAUCUCAAAAGCCGGUCUCAGUUCGGAUCGGAGUCUGCAACCCGACUCCGUGAAGUUGGAUUCGCUAGUAAUCGCGCAUCAGCCAUGGCGCGGUGAAUACGUUCCCGGGCCUU
Molecule: ribosomal RNA, 450 nt
Filed under: uncultured Sphingobacteriales bacterium
Lineage: Bacteria; Pseudomonadati; Bacteroidota; Sphingobacteriia; Sphingobacteriales
Description: bacterial SSU rRNA
Rfam family: Bacterial small subunit ribosomal RNA
Source: RNAcentral